RNAcentral lists this ribosomal RNA (464 nucleotides) under uncultured bacterium. RNAcentral's name for it is "partial 16S ribosomal RNA". It matches the Rfam family "Bacterial small subunit ribosomal RNA", at positions 28 to 506 of the family's 1533-position model. The record is from RNAcentral.
GACGAACGCUGGCGGCGUGCUUAACACAUGCAAGUCGAACGGAAAGGCCCUGCUUUUGUGGGGUGCUCGAGUGGCGAACGGGUGAGUAACACGUGAGUAACCUGCCCUUGACUUUGGGAUAACUUCAGGAAACUGGGGCUAAUACCGGAUAGGAGCUCCUGCUGCAUGGUGGGGGUUGGAAAGUUUCGGCGGUUGGGGAUGGACUCGCGGCUUAUCAGCUUGUUGGUGGGGUGGCUUACCAAGGCUUUGACGGGUAGCCGGCCUGAGAGGGUGACCGGCCACAUUGGGACUGAGAUACGGCCCAGACUCCUACGGGAGGCAGCAGUGGGGAAUAUUGCACAAUGGGCGGAAGCCUGAUGCAGCAACGCCGCGUGCGGGAUGACGGCCUUCGGGUGGUAAACCGCUUUCGCCUGUGACGAAGCGUGAGUGACGGUAAUGGGUAAAGAAGCACCGGCUAACUACGU